RNAcentral lists this non-coding RNA (43 nucleotides) under Nematostella vectensis (starlet sea anemone). Lineage: Eukaryota; Metazoa; Cnidaria; Anthozoa; Actiniaria; Edwardsiidae. The record is from RNAcentral.
GGGGUCGACUGGUUUUGACAGCGAGUGGAAUUGAUUAGUAAGC